This 25-nucleotide small RNA is filed under the name Arabidopsis thaliana (thale cress). RNAcentral describes it as "ATSL025570". The record is from RNAcentral. Lineage: Eukaryota; Viridiplantae; Streptophyta; Magnoliopsida; Brassicales; Brassicaceae.
CCUUCAUGUACUUAUCUUUGCCGUU